AUGCUUAUUAAUCUUGCAGACUUGGACAUAUUACUUGUGAAGCUUGCUUGUUUACUUGAGCCUAUUGUCCUUGGUUGUAGUUGCAUUAUAUGCUUUCAUACCAUACCACACCUUAUCCUUUCUUAUGAUAAGAAAGAUGAAAACACUUGUUGGGUAUUUUACCACACGAAUGCUAGGUGUUGCAUUUGCACUAAGCUCAUUUGUUUUUCCGAGUGUUUGUCAUGUUGUUUCAUUUUGAAGGAUUCACAAGGCGUUACCAUCACGAGACAUAUUGGUUAUGUGAAGGCAUACAUGAUGUGCAACACCAACAUUUGCGAGAAUCUCCUAAAGGUGAACUCCUUCUCUUUGAGCCACCCUAAAAUACGCAUAUUGGAUGGGUCAUUCUUUCAUUGA
RNAcentral lists this ribosomal RNA (393 nucleotides) under Triticum aestivum (bread wheat). Its description in RNAcentral is "partial small subunit ribosomal RNA". The record is from RNAcentral. Lineage: Eukaryota; Viridiplantae; Streptophyta; Magnoliopsida; Poales; Poaceae.